Molecule: ribosomal RNA, 389 nt
Filed under: Lopaphus sp. JAR-2014
Lineage: Eukaryota; Metazoa; Arthropoda; Insecta; Phasmatodea; Lonchodidae
Description: partial 12S ribosomal RNA
Source: RNAcentral
UAAACUACGAUUAGAUACCCUAUUAUUAUAUGUGUAAAUUUUUAGCUUGGGUAGUAUUAGUUAUGUUCUUUAAACCUAAAGAAUUUGGCGGUGUUUUAGUCUAUUUAGAGGAAUUUGCCCUUUAAUCGAUAAUCCUCGUUUUAUCUUGCUUUAUUUUGUUUUCAAUAUGUAUACCGCCGUUAUAAGUUUAUUUUAAAAGGAAAUAAAUUUACUUUAAUCUUAAUUUUGAUUUAUUUCAGGUCAAGGUGCAGUCUAUAUUAAAGUUGAGGUGAAUUACAAUAUUAUUUUAAUAAAUGGAUAUUUUUUUUAAAAGUUUGUUGAAGGUGGAUUUAAUUGUAAUUUUUGUUAUAAUGCUUAUUUGAUUUUAGCUCUAAAAUGAGCACACAUCG